CAUGCUAGAGCUUGAUAUAAAGCGUUUUAGUUACAUUAAAAAGUUAACUGUGAAAUUCAGUUUAGUUUGA
Molecule: transfer RNA, 70 nt
Filed under: Jebusaea hammerschmidtii
Lineage: Eukaryota; Metazoa; Arthropoda; Insecta; Coleoptera; Cerambycidae
Description: tRNA-Val
Source: RNAcentral